This 66-nucleotide transfer RNA is filed under the name Columbicola macrourae. RNAcentral's name for it is "tRNA-Ile". The record is from RNAcentral. Lineage: Eukaryota; Metazoa; Arthropoda; Insecta; Psocodea; Philopteridae.
AGUAAAGUGCCUGAAGAAAAGGGCUAUCUUGAUGGGAUAGAUCAUGGCCUGGCUGGCCCUUUACUA